GACGAACGCUGGCGGCGUGCCUAAUACAUGCAAGUAGGACGCAGUUGCGAACGGGUGAGUAACGCGUCGGUAACUGCCUAUUAGAGGGGGAUAACUAUUGGAAACGAUAGCUAAUACCGCAUACUAGUAGAUGGACCUGCGUUGUAGUAGCUAGUAGGUUGGUUAAUUGCCUACCUAGGCGACUAUACAUAGCCGACCUGAGAGGGUGAUCGGCCACACCUGGACUGAGACACGGCCCAGCCUCCUACGGGAGGACGCAGUAGGGAAUCUUCGGCAAUGGUGGGAACCCUGACCGAGCAACGCCGCGGGAGUGAAGAAGGUUUUCGGAUCGUAAAGCUCUGUUGUUAAGGAAGCGGUACUUAACCAGAAAGGGACGGCUAACUACGUGCCAGCAGCCGCGGUAAUAC
This 407-nucleotide ribosomal RNA is filed under the name uncultured bacterium. Its description in RNAcentral is "partial 16S ribosomal RNA". It matches the Rfam family "Bacterial small subunit ribosomal RNA", at positions 28 to 526 of the family's 1533-position model. The record is from RNAcentral.